Long non-coding RNA from Neltuma alba, 92 nucleotides. RefSeq lists it as uncharacterized. NCBI's taxonomy places the organism in Eukaryota, Viridiplantae, Streptophyta, Magnoliopsida, Fabales, Fabaceae. The transcript has 3 exons. The record is from RefSeq and is a predicted model, not a curated record.
CUUGAAGAGUACCAUCAGCACCUUGAACGAUUUAGAAAAGGGAGAGAAGGCACCUCAAGAAUAAAGAUGCUAUGCGUGGUAAGGUCAAUCAG